CGCCGCGAGUCCCCGGCGGCCUCACCAGGCGGGGCUCGCCUUCACCGGGCGGUGAACGGCCGCGUCGCCCGCCGCUCGCUGUCCCUGCCAGACUUUCAAAAAGGGCGGCGAGUCACCGGUUGGUUACUCACAGUCACAGAUUUGCGAUCGGAUUCCAAGAAGCCGAGUGAAUCGCACGCAGCUCGUCGAGUCGAGUCCAGAGGGAGCGCUGCGCACGGACAGAGCCCCCCGCCAUGGCGGCCGCGGCGCGCGCGAUCAUCUGCGAGCUGGCGCCGGAGAAGGUGGCGUCGGUGCCCGCGCCGCCGAAGAAGCGCGACGCCGGGAAGGCGGUGCUGCAGCCCCGGCUCUGCACGCUGCGGUCGUACGGCGCCGGCAGCGGCGUGGUGACGCGGAGGAUUCUGACCGGGGCGGAGGACGGGAGCGGGGCCGCGGACUCGGGCGGCUCUGCUGCCUCCCCGUUCUUCGCAUCGCUGGCCGACUACAUCGAGAGCUCCGCAAGAGCCAGGACUUCGAGACCAUCUCCGGCCGCCUCGCCAUGGUGGCUUUCUUGGCGGCCGUGGCGGUGGAGCUGACGACGGGCAGCUCGCUGUUCAAGAAGCUGGACACGAUGGAGAUCGAGGAGGCGGCGGGGUUGUGCGUGGCCGUGGUCGCCUGCGCCGCAGCGUUCGCGUGGGCAUCCAGCGCGCGCACCAGGAUCGGUCGGAUGUUCACGCUGGGGUGCAACGCCUUCGUCGACUCCCUCAUCGAUAACAUCGUCGAGGCGCUCUUCUCCGAGAGCGAGCUCCAGGACUGGUCCGACGACGUAUAAGUAUGCAAAUAUAUACGCAUAGAGACUAGAUAUAGACAGUACAGUAUAUACAUAGAGAAAGUAUUUACAGAUAGAUCGUCAAGCUGUUGAGAUCCGCGGAUUUCGCAAGCUUCGUCCGUUGCAACGGCAAGGAAGUUGUUCUGAAUUUUUGUUCAGACAUUGAUCCUGAAUCCAAGGUUAUCAGACAUGGAUCAUACAGGGUUCCAAACAACUGGCAGCUGUUGUCCACGGCCCUGCAAGGAUGAACUGUGAUCACAAAUCUGCAGCCUGUGUAGGAAGACAAGCAGAGUAUCUUUGACCUUUGUGUAGCCAGGCAGUCCGUCAAGGUUGUGAAAUAUGUAGAUCUCUACAUUUCAUCAGAGAAAUAGUGUACAGGGGACGGGGAGGAUCAGCCCCUUAAUUCAACUGCACCUACUAGUAUAGUGAGAUUGUAAUUAGUGACUGAAGCAUGGGAGCAAAACACCGUGUUUUCUUUAGGGGUCAAAUCCGGAGUUUGACUCUUGAGAUUAUAAUACAUGGAGUGCAGACAAAUCUACACAUAUAUGUCUCCCUUGCUCCAUUCCUGUAUACGGGCUCUGAAGAAAUACAAACACUGCUGUGUCGAUUGAGCUGCAAAA
RNA transcript from Panicum virgatum (switchgrass), 1425 nucleotides. It is a transcript of the gene named stress enhanced protein 2, chloroplastic-like, with no coding region annotated. Lineage: Eukaryota; Viridiplantae; Streptophyta; Magnoliopsida; Poales; Poaceae. The record is from RefSeq and is a predicted model, not a curated record. The transcript is spliced from 2 exons.